RNAcentral lists this ribosomal RNA (465 nucleotides) under Vreelandella stevensii. Its description in RNAcentral is "partial 16S ribosomal RNA". It matches the Rfam family "Bacterial small subunit ribosomal RNA", at positions 338 to 795 of the family's 1533-position model. Lineage: Bacteria; Pseudomonadati; Pseudomonadota; Gammaproteobacteria; Oceanospirillales; Halomonadaceae. The record is from RNAcentral.
CCUACGGGGGGCAGCAGUGGGGAAUAUUGGACAAUGGGCGAAAGCCUGAUCCAGCCAUGCCGCGUGUGUGAAGAAGGCCUUCGGGUUGUAAAGCACUUUCAGUGGGGAAGAAAGCCUUGGGGCUAAUACCCUCGAGGAAGGACAUCACCCACAGAAGAAGCACCGGCUAACUCCGUGCCAGCAGCCGCGGUAAUACGGAGGGUGCGAGCGUUAAUCGGAAUUACUGGGCGUAAAGCGCGCGUAGGCGGUCUGAUAAGCCGGUUGUGAAAGCCCCGGGCUCAACCUGGGAACGGCAUCCGGAACUGUCAGGCUAGAGUGCAGGAGAGGAAGGUAGAAUUCCCGGUGUAGCGGUGAAAUGCGUAGAGAUCGGGAGGAAUACCAGUGGCGAAGGCGGCCUUCUGGACUGACACUGACGCUGAGGUGCGAAAGCGUGGGUAGCAAACAGGAUUAGAUACCCCAGUAGAC